AUUGAACGCUGGCGGCAGGCCUAACACAUGCAAGUCGAACGAGUGGCGGACGGGUGAGUCAUGUCUGGGAACCUGCCUGAUGGAGGGGGCUCACUACUGGAAACGGUAGCUAAUACCGCAUACCAUCAGAUGUGCCCAGAUGGGUUGAGCUGGCUGGUGGGGUAACGGCUCACCAAGCCGACGAUCCCUAGCUGGUCUGUGAGGAUGACCGGCCGCACUGGAACUGAGAAACGGUCCAGACUCCUACGGGAGUCAGCAGUGGGGAAGAUUGCACAAUGGGCGCAAGCCGGAGGCAGCCAUGCCGCGUGUAUGAAGGAGGCCUUCGGGUUGUAAAGUACUUUCAGCGGGGAGGCGUUACCCGCAGAAGAAGCCCCGGCUAACUCCGUGCCAGCAGCCGCGGUAAUAC
Molecule: ribosomal RNA, 406 nt
Filed under: uncultured bacterium
Lineage: Bacteria
Description: partial 16S ribosomal RNA
Rfam family: Bacterial small subunit ribosomal RNA
Source: RNAcentral